RNAcentral lists this ribosomal RNA (254 nucleotides) under uncultured bacterium. RNAcentral describes it as "partial 16S ribosomal RNA". It matches the Rfam family "Bacterial small subunit ribosomal RNA", at positions 524 to 776 of the family's 1533-position model. The record is from RNAcentral.
UACAGAGGUCUCAAGCGUUGUUCGGAUUCAUUGGGCGUAAAGGGUGUGUAGGUGGCGCCGUAAGUCGGGUGUGAAAUUUCGGAGCUUAACUCCGAAACUGCAUUCGAUACUGCCGUGCUUGAGGACUGGAGAGGAGACUGGAAUUUACGGUGUAGCGGUGAAAUGCGUAGAUAUCGUAAGGAAGACCAGUGGCGAAGGCGGGUCUCUGGACAGUUCCUGACGCUGAGGCACGAAGGUCAGGGGAGGCAAACGGG